RNAcentral lists this ribosomal RNA (301 nucleotides) under uncultured bacterium. RNAcentral describes it as "partial 16S ribosomal RNA". It matches the Rfam family "Bacterial small subunit ribosomal RNA", at positions 509 to 807 of the family's 1533-position model. The record is from RNAcentral.
CAGUAGCCGCGGUAAUACGUAGGGCGCGAGCGUUGUCCGGAAUUAUUGGGCGUAAAGAGCUUGUAGGCGGUUGGUCGCGUCUGCUGUGAAAGGCUGGGGCUUAACCCUGGUUUUGCAGUGGGUACGGGCUAACUAGAGUGCAGUAGGGGAGACUGGAAUUCCUGGUGUAGCGGUGGAAUGCGCAGAUAUCAGGAGGAACACCGAUGGCGAAGGCAGGUCUCUGGGCUGUAACUGACGCUGAGAAGCGAAGGCACGGGGAGCGAACAGGAUUAGAGACCCAGGUAGUCCCUGUCUCUUAUAC